Molecule: ribosomal RNA, 253 nt
Filed under: uncultured bacterium
Lineage: Bacteria
Description: partial 16S ribosomal RNA
Rfam family: Bacterial small subunit ribosomal RNA
Source: RNAcentral
UACGGGGGGGGCAAGCGUUGUUCGGAAUUACUGGGCGUAAAGGGCUCGUAGGCGGCCAACUAAGUCAGACGUGAAAUCCCUCGGCUUAACCGGGGAACUGCGUCUGAUACUGGUUGGCUUGAAUCCGGGAGAGGGAUGUGGAAUUCCAGGUGUAGCGGUGAAAUGCGUAGAUAUCUGGAGGAACACCGGUGGCGAAGGCGACUACCUGGCCCAUUCUUGACGCUGAGGCGCGAAAGCUAGGGGAGCGAACGGG